GCAUUAUUUAACUGCGUUAAAGGGGAUAUCUCAAUUAUCCCUGUGCGCAGUGAUUUURCAGAAUAAGGAGUGCUUAGGGGCCAGAGUAUCAUACGGCGACUGGUGAAAUGGGAUGACCCGUGUGGGAGUAACAGAGGCGAAAGCGCUGGUCAGGGGCGAGUCCGAUGGUAAAGGACGUAGGCUAGAGGAUCGAAGACGAUUAGAGACCGUUGUAGUUCUAGCAGUAAACGAUGCCGAUGUCGUGGUGCCGAAUAAUGGCGACGCGAAAGAGAAAUCGAGUAGGGCCCUGGGGAGAGUACACGCGCAAGCGAGAAAUUUAAAGGAAAUUGACGGAAGAACACCACAAGGAGUGGAGUGUGCGGCUUAAUUUGACUCAACGCGGGACAACUUACCGGGCCCGACGACCGUAUGAGUGUAACACACGAUAGGUCGAAGAGUGGUGCAUGGCCGUUAACGACGAGUGGAGUGAUCUUUGGGUUAAGUCCGUAAAUUAGUGAGACCUCAGCCGUAAGGGACAGGUGCGCAAAGCACAGGAAGGAUGGGUCAAGGACAGGUCAGUGAUGCCCUUAGAUGGUCCGGGCUGCACGCGCACUACAGUGGUCGCCGAAAUUACCUGAUAAUUUUAAAGGCGAUCGAGAGGAAAUGAGCUUUGUAAGAGGCUCAGGAACGAGGAAUUGCUAGUAAUCG
Molecule: ribosomal RNA, 687 nt
Filed under: Loma lingcodae
Lineage: Eukaryota; Fungi; Microsporidia; Glugeidae
Description: SSU rRNA
Rfam family: Microsporidia small subunit ribosomal RNA
Source: RNAcentral